This 362-nucleotide unclassified non-coding RNA is filed under the name uncultured Agaricostilbales. Its description in RNAcentral is "sequence contains ITS1". The stretch from base 1 to 106 matches the Rfam family "5.8S ribosomal RNA", at positions 50 to 154 of the family's 154-position model. Lineage: Eukaryota; Fungi; Basidiomycota; Agaricostilbomycetes. The record is from RNAcentral.
GAAAUGCGAUACGUAAUGUGAAUUGCAGAACUCAGUGAAUCAUCGAAUUUUUGAACGCACCUUGCGCUCUUUAGUUAUUCUGAAGAGCAUGCUUGUUUGAGUGUCGCGAACCUCUCAACCCCGCCAAAGGCUUUAUUGACUUUGGUUGCUUGGGCUUGGAUCAUGGUCUCUUGUCGUUGCCCUUCGGGGUUUGGACUGGACUGAAAUACAACAAGUUGAAUGGUUACAUUUGCAGCUUGACCUGAUGUUGUAAACUACUCAUCGGGGAUGCAGUGAAGCUAAAGGAACUUUAACAGAACCCCCUUAAUGGUACCUAGUACAUUUAUGACCUCAAAUCAAGUAGGACUACCCGCUGAACUUAA